Molecule: long non-coding RNA, 1063 nt
Organism: Dromaius novaehollandiae (emu)
Lineage: Eukaryota; Metazoa; Chordata; Aves; Casuariiformes; Dromaiidae
Source: Ensembl
GAGCCGCGGUAGCCGAGAGGGAAGGGAAGCGGUGUCCGAGUCGUAGUAAGUAACACCGGAGAGCACCGGGGCAGGUCGAUGCUCGCUGCGGGGCCGAACCCCGGCAGAAGCAUAAAGUGGCCUGGACCUGUCCCAAGGUAGCCAUCUGAAAGAACCUCUUCAAGUAGUAAAAGCAGAGCAUGCUGGUGAUACUAUCUCUGGAGAGACAUCUGAAGUUAUUAGUGUGGACAUCAAACAUCACCUUAAACUAUUUGGGGUUAAAAACAGGUGUGUCCUACAUUAGUCAAGAUUGUGAAGAAAUUCCAGAAUUCCUAGGAAGAAAAUAUGGACAUAUGGCAAAAAGGCUAGAUCUUAGCUUCAACUUGUUAAGAGAGGAGAGGGAGUUUCAGUCUCAGGGGGUUAGUUCUUUUCUUUCCAAGACUCAAGGACAGUGGAUGCAACAGCAAGAUCUUUUGGACAAUUCCAAAAACUAUCCUGAAGUCUACAAAAUUAUUCUUCGUAGUUCUAGUGAAAACCUGUUACUGGGUGAGAGAGAUCUGGGGCUGCAGAAGAGGAUUUUCAAGAAGUUUUCUGUCCUUGUUGUAACAUGGUGUGCUCACCCAUGCUUGAUCUGUUAAACAGAAGUUAUAUAGCUGAAUUUCACUCGCCCAUUUUUGAAAACUGUAGUAUAUAGGUAGUCCAUUUGAAAUGGAUCUGUGUUUGACAGGUUGUAGUUCUGUCCUUUGGCAGGCUGUUUUCAUUUUUCCUCCCCCUUAUUUUGUUUGCAUAUUUUGUUUUUGUUGCAUUAUGCUAUUUAAUAUUUAUCUUCUUUUUCAUUAAUCAAAAAAUACUAAUCUCAUCAAUAUGUGUUUCAUGUAUUAGCCUACUCCUAUGGUUCGACAAGUAAUGGGAAUUUAUUAAAUACAUGAAUUCAAGAGAAGUUUUGAAUCAUCUUGGAUAUCUGUCUCUGAAAUUCCUGUCAGCAUGUAAUGAGAAAAGUGUUUUGGGAUAUAUAAGCUCUGAGUUAGGUUGGAAAUACGUAUUGUUGAAUAAAUUGUGUCUACUGUUUGAAGUGGGAGGAAUA